Drosophila bipectinata is the source of this 1389-nucleotide non-coding RNA. The record is from RefSeq and is a predicted model, not a curated record. Lineage: Eukaryota; Metazoa; Arthropoda; Insecta; Diptera; Drosophilidae.
UGGUUGAUAAUUUUAAUUGAGCUUCCAGAUUAUUAUUAUUUAGUCCCACGAAAUAAAUCAAAAGCCAAAGCAGACAGAAGAAUAAGUUCCAGUGCAUGUGCUCGAGGAAAAAACAAAAACAAAAUACACUGCGUUCAGCGAAGUGUGACGACGGAUAGAGAUGUAAUGAAGAAACAAGCAAAAUUGUUUUUGUUUCGCAUGGUAAUCGAAGCCCAUAUGCACGGUGCUUAUGGGCGCACUAGCCAUAAGCACAGAGCAUCUACAAAAACAAAAGUGCACUCAGUGUAUAGGCGUUAAGCACCCCUGCUCUAAAUUGACCACAUUUUUUCAUUGCAACCUUGCUUUUUCCGGAAAUCUAACGGGACUUUUUAAAAAUAGAAUGCAAAGUGUGAACACGUGUUCAAUUUUGCUGCUGCAGCUACGUUAAAGAGCUUUUCGUCAAAACAAAAGUGAAGUUCAAAGUGGUCGGACGUUCGCAAAAAUUCACUAAAUUUAAUUAUUUAAAAUGCAUUUUAAAGUUGAAGAUCGAAUAACCCUUUUUUGUCUAUUUUGUGAACGUCUUUUUCAUGUUUAGUUAAAGUUUUAGUUGUGAUCCCACGAAAUCCCACAAAUAGUAUGUAUGUUAAUGUGUUCGUCUAACUUUUGGGGUACUGUAUGCCUAAAAUCAGCUGCAGUCAUUUGCAGUUGUUAAUAUAAUCGGAAAAAUACUGAUGCCAUCUAGCGUUUGCCAAGGGAAAGUUUUUCCUUAUUGGGCUGUUGUUUUGUUCUCGUCGCUCGUGUUUGUAAUGUUUUUUGAAAUAUUUUUAGUUAUUCAUUUCAUUGAAAUUCACUUUUUAGGAGAUUCCCAUAAGUGUGCAUUUACACGACUAUAUAUUUUUGAUCUUUGGUGUGCAGAAGGUGGCACCAACGCUGAAAGAUUAAAAAAAAAAUGGUUGAAUUUAUGCAAGAGCAAAUUGAAAACAACGGUUACAUUCCCGAGCUAAGCCAACUACCAAAACGAAUUGAUUGCAUAUGCAAAAGAAUUGCUACUUUUUGGGAUAGAUACAAACGGAAGAAAACUGCAAUUAUGCAAUAUCAAUCAAGUUUGCUGAAUAAAAUAGAAACAAUUGUGUUGACCUGUGGUCGUGAGUUGUCUCAACCAACACAAUAACACAGUGUUAAUCUUGGACAGCCGAAAAUUGAUUUUUAGAUUGUUCGAAUAGAGCAAAACGUCGAAGGAUUGCUGAAAUAGCGAAAACGGAUCACUUGAAAACGGAGAAUUUGAUUAACUAUUAUGUUUUCUUUGUUUUUUAUUUAAUAUAUGUUUUUUUAUUUUAUUUAAUAUGGUUCCUAAUUUGUUUACAAAAGUGUAUUAUUAUUAAAGUAUUUGAAUAUUACUUGAAACUCGUA